Long non-coding RNA from Pungitius pungitius (ninespine stickleback), 1913 nucleotides. RefSeq lists it as uncharacterized. NCBI's taxonomy places the organism in Eukaryota, Metazoa, Chordata, Actinopteri, Perciformes, Gasterosteidae. The record is from RefSeq and is a predicted model, not a curated record. The transcript is spliced from 3 exons.
UCACCACCACCAGCCCCGCCGUCCAGCCAUCCACCAGGACCCUCAGAGCCAGAGAAUGCAGCCAUAGGAUGUCUGGUACAGAAACAUUUUAUCCAGUCAAGAGGGUCGUAAACCACAAAAGGCUUAAGGGAAAAACAAUGGAACUUAUUGAGUGGGAGCCCUGUUCGAUGUGGUAUGCAAUAUGUCUCUUCAUUCUAUUCUAUCGUCUCAAAUAUUAGCAAAGAAAUAGCAUUAUUAUUAUUCUCAUUAUUGUUUUAACAGUUUAAAGGGUGAAGCAUCAAAAUAGUUUAUGUGUACUCCUUAAUCAAACUUUCAUAAUGAUGUCAACUACAGUAAUCAGGUUACUGAAUUCAUGUAAAAAAAUUGACUCAAAACUGUUCUUCUCUAUUGACAUGUUUUUGAAUUUCAUUCAUUGCUGAUAUAAUAACAAAUCUUUUUCACAGUGGGAAGACCUGGCCCCUCGAGUGGGUAGCCAAGGAAGACACCAAGUCUUAAAUGACAUAGAUAUAUUUUUUAUGUUCAUAUGUCUUGUUAUGUUCAAAACAACAAAUAAAGUUCAAACACUAAAACCUCAAACCCUUACCUAAUAUGUAUUGUCCCAGUUGAGUUUCCGUACUGUGCCUGACCCGCUUGUGCAUGCGGCAUAGAGUUAUGAUGCAGGUAUAUCUUAAUAUCCUUUUUUUUUUUUUCAUAGUUCCUUUUAAUUGUUUCAUAGUAUCCGGAAUUAGAUGUACGACCCCUCGUUAACGUUUACAGUAAAUAACAUAAAUGACAAAUACGACAAUGACUCAGACAAUAUGAAACUUGGUAGCAUUAUUGCAUAUUGCAUUUUCCACGGAAAAAUUUCAUUUUUUUUUUUUUAAACCUGACUUCCUCAUGUUUCUUCUUCUUCUUCUUCUUGCAACUUUAUUUAAAUGUGACCGUUCACGUGACCAGUGCGUCUGACAAUGUAAAUGUAUUUUUUGUUUGUUUUAUUCUAAUCAACCUUUAUUGGCAGAGUAUUUGGUACAAAGGCAGAUAUUUACGUACAAAGAAGCAAACAAACAAACAAACAAACAAACAACAGCCAGGAGGAUUAUUCAAAUAAAAUCAUUACAUAAUGAGGCAGCGAGCUUCAUCAGCGCAUUCACCGAACCUCGCGCGUGCGCGCGCACACACACACAAACACACGCACACAUUCGCGCCUGAGAGGGGCGGGGCUUAUCUCCCUUAAAAGAGUACCGUUUCCGCCAUCCACCAUCGAAAAGCCCGUCUAUCACUUUUACUAUAUACAUUAUUUUUGAAGUCGUGGACCACUUGACCGGAGUGUGUGUCUGCUGAACCCCUGAGAGUGACUUAACCGAUCGAACCCGGGUUAAGCAUCACUGAACUAGGUGUCCGAGCAGCAAUUCCAGCGUCCAUAGCAACCACCGCAACGUAACCAUGAAAUCGUAGCCUGAAACGGAAGGGAAGGUUUUGAAAGAGACACACAUGCGCUAAAGCGUUCAGCAUUCAAGCCCCCGGAAAGUAUGCAUUCUUUCAAUGAAAACUCAUAAAAAUAUGCCAAUUUAUGUUUGAAAAGUCAUAAUGUGAUUUGAGUGCUUUGUGUUGGCGAUUAGUGCCUUUAAUGCUGAAAAAAAAUGACCGCAGAAACAAACGUUGCAUUCCCACGCUUUCCCAAAGAGACACUCAAAUCUUCGCAGAAACGAAUAAACGGAAGGUCUUCUACAGUCUCUGAUAGAAGAUUAUGAAAGAAUAACGCAUACUUCUCGCUAGAAAUGCCAUCGAAAUGCAUACAAAUGCUGAUGCUUUCUUAAAAUAUUGUGUUUUUCACGGAGAUUAUGCUGACCGUCCGCCAUGUUUUUCUUUUCACUAACGGGAAACUUGAUAGUCACGUGACCUAUUUGCAAAGCAAUGUAAAUGAAUGGGCCAAA